This is a long non-coding RNA of Cyanistes caeruleus (blue tit), 2218 nucleotides long. RefSeq lists it as uncharacterized. The record is from RefSeq and is a predicted model, not a curated record. NCBI's taxonomy places the organism in Eukaryota, Metazoa, Chordata, Aves, Passeriformes, Paridae.
GUCAGCGGGGGCUGCUGCGGCCUGCGCACCUUCCCGUGCUUGGAAACGCCGCUCGUCUGCCCUCAAAGUCUCUAACACACCAAAUCAUCAAAGCACAGGUUCACUGCAACGUAGGUCUUCUAGCAGCUGCAGGAGGUGGAGGCCUCCUCAGGCCUUCACGGGCAGGAGCGAAAAAGUCCUUGAUAAAGGGUUAACAGAGAACUUCAGAAGUGGGAUUGCAGAAUGUAGACACGGAUGCAAAGUGUUGCCAAAACAUGUUCUUUCACCUGAUGAACAACUUCCACAAGUGCAUGAGAGGGCAUGAUGCUGUCAAGCAUGCCAGAGGAACUGAGUUAAAUCAAAAAGGCACAAUGUCACCCUUGGGAGAACAGGAGGAGGUAUGCAGAACACCUUUCGCUGCUGUGGUGCACAAGAGCCUGAGGUUGCAGCGAUGACCUUCGGGACACCCUGCAAGAUUCAACUGCUUACCCAGCUCUUCUCUGCGGGUGUGAGGAAGGGUCCUAUGAUUUAUUGUGUAUUUUUUGUUGAGGCUGGUGAUUCUUUGGUGUGUGUAGUUCAUUCACAGGAUGAAAUGGGUCUAUGAAAAAUCAAAGUGCAUCAUUGCUUUCAGAUGAAUAGAACUGUUCUGUUCCAACGUCUUUUGUGCUCUAAGAUGCCAGUGUAGAGCUUCAGUAUUUGUUCCAGUAAACAGAUUCCUCCAGCUCAAUAACACUUUUUUCUCGGUUUGUUUGAUGAGGCCGAGGUCAGGAAACAAAAGGAUUUUGUUCUCCGGAUACUGGAUAUUGCAUUGCUAGAGUUGCUUUCAGCAGUCUUUCGUGUUCUCCUGUUUCAAACUUAGAUGAAAUAAAAACACUCCCACUGUUGUUCACAGUCACGUUCCCCUCACUGGUAUUCUACAGCACUUUUCCCAUAAAAUAUGUUUCUACCCAAUAUGACUUUCCAGAAGUUCAGUUUGAGUUUAGUAAUAUUUGAAACAGGAUCUCUGUGGCCUGUACCAGAGGGGGGAACAAAGGUUGUGCACAACUCCAGACUUCAUUUGGUUCUCAGUUGCUUCCUGCCUUUUGUCUAGUGACACACAUUUCACAAAGGAAUACAGACACCUCAGACACCUUCUCCACCUGCAGCCCAUGAAAUUUUAAAGACACUUUUAGCCUCUUUACUUCCCCUUAUCAUGGAAAUACAAGCCUUCAGGAAAAAAGUGGAACACACAUCUAGGGGGAGAAACUAUUUAGCUAUCUUACUAUAGCCUGCCCACAUACCAUGGUAUCUGAACUCAUCCCCACAGUGUGUGCACAUGCUUCCGAUACAGCCCAGACCACACCAUGGAUAGGCCCCAGUAUGUACUUGUUAUCUAACUCUUUGUGAUGUCUGGUUUGCCAAGCACUCUAUUUAAAGGUAUUUAUCUGGAAGUAAUUAUUUUAAUACCCUGAGAAACUGCCUGUUAGGAUAGAUAGAACCAUACUUUCACCACAGUGAUGCACAAAAUUAAAUCCAUAAUAAUUUUAAGCAAUAUUUUGAUAUUUCCUAUACUUAAAAGACACAGCUUAACACUAACUGAAAAAACACAAAAACACAGUCAAAGGCAACACCACCAACUAAAGCAUUUGUUUAAUUUAAUAAUAAAAUUAAAACUUUAAUUUUUAAAAACAUUUGACAAUAAAGAACCAUCACAAUUUAAUACAUAGUUUCUCUUCACAAAUACCAUCUCCUUUUCCCAUUACAGUUUGACAAUGGAUUACUUGUCUGCUGGAAGUAAUUAUAUUAUAUUCUUAUUUCAGCUGAUUGCAAGCAAACCUUUCCAUAAAAUUCUUGACAGGAAUUCUGUCCAAAGAAGCCUCUGUAGCAAUGAUGUCAGGUGUAGCUCUGUGCUAAGAGAACUGUGCAGAGUAUGCAUUGCAUGCCCUGAGGAACAGCUGUCUGCACACCAGUGGAGUUCUCAGAGGGCUGCUCUGUCUCUGGACAGCACAGGAGUUAUCCCAGGGAGCUUGAGCAGCAGCACUCCCCCUUCCCACAGGAUGAGCACUGCUCACAUCCCGAACUGCCCACACAGCUGAGGACUCAGGACAGCAAACUUCCUUUACAUUCAACAAGCCUACUAUAUAUUUGGACAAUCUGCUGUGUGUAUGUUUCUGCUGCAAUGUUCUGUUCAUGAUAUGAUUGUGACAAGACAAAUUUAAAUGGACAGUUACAAUAAUCCAUUACCAUUUAUUUUCAGAAA